RNAcentral lists this ribosomal RNA (876 nucleotides) under Muyocopron dipterocarpi. RNAcentral's name for it is "partial large subunit ribosomal RNA". It matches the Rfam family "Eukaryotic large subunit ribosomal RNA", at positions 48 to 939 of the family's 3401-position model. Lineage: Eukaryota; Fungi; Ascomycota; Dothideomycetes; Muyocopronales; Muyocopronaceae. The record is from RNAcentral.
AAGCGGAGGAAAAGAAACCAACAGGGAUUGCCUCAGUAACGGCGAGUGAAGCGGCAACAGCUCAAAUUUGAAAUCUGGCGUCUUCGGCGCCCGAGUUGUAAUUUGCAGAGGAUGCUUCGGCGUAGGCGCCGCCCAAAGUUCCUUGGAACGGGACGUCGCAGAGGGUGAGAGCCCCGUGUUCGGGCGGAUGCCGUCGCCAUGUGAAGCUCCUUCGACGAGUCGAGUUGUUUGGGAAUGCAGCUCAAAACGGGAGGUAAAUUUCUUCCAAAGCUAAAUACCGGCCGGAGACCGAUAGUGCACAAGUAGAGUGAUCGAAAGAUGAAAAGCACUUUGGAAAGAGAGUCAAACAGCGCGUGAAAUUGUUAAAAGGGAAGCGCUUGCGGUCAGAACUUGGCCGCCGUUGCUCGGGGAGGUCUCGCGCCUCCCUCGCUCUUCGGCGGCUGGGCCAGCAUCGGUUCGGGCGGCUCGAGAAAGGUCGUGGGAACGUAGCUCCCUCCGGGGAGUGUUAUAGCCCGCGGCGCAAUAGGGCCCGCCUGGACCGAGGUCUGCGCAUCUGCUCGGAUGCUGGCGUAAUGGCCCCAAGCGGCCCGUCUUGAAACACGGACCAAGGAGUCUAACAUUCGUGCGAGUGUUCGGGCGUUAAACCCGUGCGCGCAAUGAAAGUGAACGUAGGUGGGAGCCCCUUGUGGGUGCACCAUCGACCGAUCCAAAUGUUUUCGGAUGGAUUUGAGUAUGAGCACGUAUGUUGGGACCCGAAAGAUGGUGAACUAUGCCUAAACAGGGCGAAGCCAGAGGAAACUCUGGUGGAGGCUCGCAGCGGUUCUGACGUGCAAAUCGAUCGUCAAAUUCGGGCAUAGGGGCGAAAGACUAAUCGAA